GAUGAACGCUGGCGGCGUGCCUAAUACAUGCAAGUCGAGCGAACAGACGAGGAGCUUGCUCCUCUGACGUUAGCGGCGGACGGGUGAGUAACACGUGGAUAACCUACCUAUAAGACUGGGAUAACUUCGGGAAACCGGAGCUAAUACCGGAUAAUAUAUUGAACCGCAUGGUUCAAUAGUGAAAGACGGCUUUGCUGUCACUUAUAGAUGGAUCCGCGCUGCAUUAGCUAGUUGGUAAGGUAACGGCUUACCAAGGCAACGAUGCGUAGCCGACCUGAGAGGGUGAUCGGCCACACUGGAACUGAGACACGGUCCAGACUCCUACGGGAGGUAGCAGUAGGGAAUCUUCCGCAAUGGGCGAAAGCCUGACGGAGCAACGCCGCGUGAGUGAUGAAGGUCUUCGGAUCGUAAAACUCUGUUAUUAGGGAAGAACAAAUGUGUAAGUAACUAUGCACGUCUUGACGGUACCUAAUCAGAAAGCCACGGCUAACUACGUG
RNAcentral lists this ribosomal RNA (497 nucleotides) under uncultured bacterium. RNAcentral describes it as "partial 16S ribosomal RNA". It matches the Rfam family "Bacterial small subunit ribosomal RNA", at positions 28 to 507 of the family's 1533-position model. The record is from RNAcentral.